Molecule: ribosomal RNA, 768 nt
Filed under: uncultured archaeon
Lineage: Archaea
Description: bacterial SSU rRNA
Rfam family: Archaeal small subunit ribosomal RNA
Source: RNAcentral
UGCAUGUCUGAGCAUGCGAGUCAUUGUAGCAUACAAGGCAUACGGCUCAGUAACGCGUAGUCAACCUAACCUAUGGACGGGAAUAACCUCGGGAAACUGAGAAUAAUGCCCGAUAGAACACUAUACCUGGAAUGGUUUGUGUUCCAAAUGAUUUAUCGCCAUAGGAUGGGACUGCGGCCUAUCAGUUUGUUGGUGAGGUAAUGGCCCACCAAGACUAUUACAGGUACGGGCUCUGAGAGGAGUAGCCCGGAGAUGGGUACUGAGACACGGACCCAGGCCCUAUGGGGCGCAGCAGGCGAGAAAACUUUGCAAUGUGCGAAAGCACGACAAGGUUAAUCCGAGUGAUUUGUGCUAAACGAAUCUUUUGUUAGUCCUAGAAACACUAACGAAUAAGGGGUGGGCAAGUUCUGGUGUCAGCCGCCGCGGUAAAACCAGCACCUCAAGUGGUCAGGAUGAUUAUUGGGCCUAAAGCAUCCGUAGCCGGCUCUGUAAGUUUUCGGUUAAAUCUGUACGCUUAACGUACAGGCUGCCGGGAAUACUGCAGAGCUAGGGAGUGGGAGAGGUAGACGGUACUCGGUAGGAAGUGGUAAAAUGCUUUGAUCUAUCGAUGACCACCUGUGGCGAAAGGCGGUCUACCAGAACACGUCCGACGGUGAGGGAUGAAAGCUGGGGGAGCAACCCGGAUUAGAUACCCGGUAGUCCCAGCUGUAACUAUGCAACCUCAGUGAUGCAUGCUUGUGCCAUGGCAGUGCUGCAACGGAAGGUCGU